GAUGAACGCUGGCGGCGUGCUUAACACAUGCAAGUCGAACGAAGCUGUUGUUUGGAGACCUUCGGGUGGAAGAAUGACAGACUGAGUGGCGGACGGGUGAGUAACGCGUGGGUAACCUACCUUGCACAGGGGGACAACAGUUGGAAACGACUGCUAAUACCGCAUAAGACCACAGUACCGCAUGGUACAGGGGUAAAAACUGAGGUGGUGCAAGAUGGACCCGCGUCUGAUUAGCUAGUUGGUGGGGUAAAGGCCUACCAAGGCGACGAUCAGUAGCCGACCUGAGAGGGUGAUCGGCCACAUUGGGACUGAGACACGGCCCAAACUCCUACGGGAGGCAGCAGUGGGGAAUAUUGGACAAUGGGGGGAACCCUGAUCCAGCGACGCCGCGUGAGUGAAGAAGUAUUUCGGUAUGUAAAGCUCUAUCAGCAGGGAAGAAAAUGACGGUACCUGACUAAGAAGCCCCGGCUAACUACGUGC
Molecule: ribosomal RNA, 480 nt
Filed under: uncultured bacterium
Lineage: Bacteria
Description: bacterial SSU rRNA
Rfam family: Bacterial small subunit ribosomal RNA
Source: RNAcentral